GACGAACGCUGGCGGCGUGCUUAACACAUGCAAGUCGAACGAGAGCGUAGAGAAAGCUUGCUUUUUCUACAAUCUAGUGGCAAACGGGUGAGUAACGCGUAAACAACCUGCCCUACGGAUGGGGACAACAGCUGGAAACGGCUGCUAAUACCGAAUACGUUCCGAAAGUCGCAUGACUAUCGGAAGAAAGUAUGGCCUCUAUUUAUAAGCUAUCGCCGGUGGAGGGGUUUGCGGCUGAUUAGCUAGUUGGAGGGGUAACGGCCCACCAAGGCGACGAUCAGUAGCCUGGCUGAGAGGAUGAACGGCCACAAUGGAAAUGAGACACGGUCCAGACCUCUACGGGGGGCAGCAGUGGGGAAUCUUCCGACAUGGGCGAAAGCCUGACGGAGCAACGCCGCGGGAGUGAAGAAGGCCUUCGGGUUGGAAAGCUCUGUUAUACGGGACGAAUAAUCUUGUGGUUAAUACCCAUGAGAAGUGACGGUACCGUAAGAGAAAGCCACGGCUAACUACGUG
Molecule: ribosomal RNA, 513 nt
Filed under: uncultured bacterium
Lineage: Bacteria
Description: partial 16S ribosomal RNA
Rfam family: Bacterial small subunit ribosomal RNA
Source: RNAcentral